RNAcentral lists this ribosomal RNA (2225 nucleotides) under Campylobacter jejuni. RNAcentral describes it as "partial 23S ribosomal RNA". It matches the Rfam family "Bacterial large subunit ribosomal RNA", at positions 756 to 2925 of the family's 2925-position model. The record is from RNAcentral. Lineage: Bacteria; Pseudomonadati; Campylobacterota; Epsilonproteobacteria; Campylobacterales; Campylobacteraceae.
GUAAGAACUAGUGGAGGACUGAACCCAUAGGCGUUGAAAAGCCCCGGGAUGACUUGUGGAUAGGGGUGAAAGGCCAAUCAAACUUCGUGAUAGCUGGUUCUCUCCGAAAUAUAUUUAGGUAUAGCGUUGUGUCGUAAUAUAAGGGGGUAGAGCACUGAAUGGGCUAGGGCAUACACCAAUGUACCAAACCCUAUCAAACUCCGAAUACCUUAUAUGUAAUCACAGCAGUCAGGCGGCGAGUGAUAAAAUCCGUCGUCAAGAGGGAAACAACCCAGAUUACCAGCUAAGGUCCCUAAAUCUUACUUAAGUGGAAAACGAUGUGAAGUUACUUAAACAACCAGGAGGUUGGCUUAGAAGCAGCCAUCCUUUAAAGAAAGCGUAAUAGCUCACUGGUCUAGUGAUUUUGCGCGGAAAAUAUAACGGGGCUAAAGUAAGUACCGAAGCUGUAGACUUGCACACAACUUAGAUUAUUUAAGUUUAGAAUAAGUAGUUUAAGUUGUGUGCAAGUGGUAGGAGAGCGUUCUAUUUGCGUCGAAGGUAUACCGGUAAGGAGUGCUGGAGCGAAUAGAAGUGAGCAUGCAGGCAUGAGUAGCGAUAAUUAAUGUGAGAAUCAUUAACGCCGUAAACCCAAGGUUUCCUACGCGAUGCUCGUCAUCGUAGGGUUAGUCGGGUCCUAAGUCGAGUCCGAAAGGGGUAGACGAUGGCAAAUUGGUUAAUAUUCCAAUACCAACAUUAGUGUGCGAUGGAAGGACGCUUAGGGCUAAGGGGGCUAGCGGAUGGAAGUGCUAGUCUAAGGUCGUAGGAGGUUAUACAGGCAAAUCCGUAUAACAAUACUCCGAGAACUGAAAGGCUUUUUGAAGUCUUCGGAUGGAUAGAAGAACCCCUGAUGCCGUCGAGCCAAGAAAAGUUUCUAAGUUUAGCUAAUGUUGCCCGUACCGUAAACCGACACAGGUGGGUGGGAUGAGUAUUCUAAGGCGCGUGGAAGAACUCUCUUUAAGGAACUCUGCAAAAUAGCACCGUAUCUUCGGUAUAAGGUGUGGUUAGCUUCGUACUAGGAUUUACUCCGAAAGCGAAGAAACUUACAACAAAGAGUCCCUCCCGACUGUUUACCAAAAACACAGCACUCUGCUAACUCGUAAGAGGAUGUAUAGGGUGUGACGCCUGCCCGGUGCUCGAAGGUUAAUUGAUGGGGUUAGCAUUAGCGAAGCUCUUGAUCGAAGCCCGAGUAAACGGCGGCCGUAACUAUAACGGUCCUAAGGUAGCGAAAUUCCUUGUCGGUUAAAUACCGACCUGCAUGAAUGGCGUAACGAGAUGGGAGCUGUCUCAAAGAGGGAUCCAGUGAAAUUGUAGUGGAGGUGAAAAUUCCUCCUACCCGCGGCAAGACGGAAAGACCCCGUGGACCUUUACUACAGCUUGACACUGCUACUUGGAUAAGAAUGUGCAGGAUAGGUGGGAGGCUUUGAGUAUAUGACGCCAGUUGUAUAUGAGCCAUUGUUGAGAUACCACUCUUUCUUAUUUGGGUAGCUAACCAGCUUGAGUUAUCCUCAAGUGGGACAAUGUCUGGUGGGUAGUUUGACUGGGGCGGUCGCCUCCCAAAUAAUAACGGAGGCUUACAAAGGUUGGCUCAGAACGGUUGGAAAUCGUUCGUAGAGUAUAAAGGUAUAAGCCAGCUUAACUGCAAGACAUACAAGUCAAGCAGAGACGAAAGUCGGUCUUAGUGAUCCGGUGGUUCUGUGUGGAAGGGCCAUCGCUCAAAGGAUAAAAGGUACCCCGGGGAUAACAGGCUGAUCUCCCCCAAGAGCUCACAUCGACGGGGAGGUUUGGCACCUCGAUGUCGGCUCAUCGCAUCCUGGGGCUGGAGCAGGUCCCAAGGGUAUGGCUGUUCGCCAUUUAAAGCGGUACGCGAGCUGGGUUCAGAACGUCGUGAGACAGUUCGGUCCCUAUCUGCCGUGGGCGUAAGAAGAUUGAAGAGAUUUGACCCUAGUACGAGAGGACCGGGUUGAACAAACCACUGGUGUAGCUGUUGUUCUGCCAAGAGCAUCGCAGCGUAGCUAAGUUUGGAAAGGAUAAACGCUGAAAGCAUCUAAGCGUGAAGCCAACUCUAAGAUGAAUCUUCUCUAAGCUCUCUAGAAGACUACUAGUUUGAUAGGCUGGGUGUGUAAUGGAUGAAAGUCCUUUAGCUGACCAGUACUAAUAGAGCGUUUGGCUUAUCUUUAAUAAAGCAU